Molecule: long non-coding RNA, 835 nt
Organism: Dendrobium catenatum
Lineage: Eukaryota; Viridiplantae; Streptophyta; Magnoliopsida; Asparagales; Orchidaceae
Exons: 2
Source: RefSeq, a predicted model, not a curated record
CUUUCUCUCUCUCUCUCUCUGUCUCUCUCUCUCUCUCUACCGACGGGAGUUCGGCACAGGCAGAGGUGGUCGGGAGUUGGUCGGAGCAGUGAGGGAGGAAGAGUCGUGUGGGUAGCGAACGGGAGAGGAGAGUCGUGGAAGGAAGUCGCGUGAAAGAGUCGAGCAGCCCCUCGCUAUUUAACGACGAUUUGGGCGCUCGAUCGAGGCGAGCUCGCGGCUUUUGAGCAGGAUUUCACGGGACAGAGACUGAACGGCGCCGAACAGUGGGAUUUCGGCAGGUUUCGUGGAUCCGAAAGAACAAUGAUUGCUACUAUUUUUGGUGGUUCAAAUUGCGUGGACAAUAAUAAGAAACAGUUGAGUUGCUGUGGGGAAGACUCUUGCUUGGGGAAAUCAUUUGGAGCGAUGUGGAUGGGCCGAUUCAAUCAUUCAGGGGAAAUGUUCCCAAUGCAUGUGCUGGAACUGAUGCGAGCCACAGGGUCGCACGCGAAGCCAAAGCAGGCUGAAGACAGGGUGUGUGGGAGACAGUCCCUGGCCGAUAACAUGUGUAUGCAGACUGAUUCGAGGCACCGCACAUGCAAGACAUGUGGGAUUUAUGGGGCACACUGGAGGCGCAGAACUCGUAGAAAGCAGGUUUGGGGCAUCAGAAUCACAGAGCUGGGUAGUUCGACUUGAAAAAUUGGGAUGCCGAAUACGUGUGGGGUUGAGGUUUCUUGAAUUACCGUUUCCCAUGGCUUUUCUUUGCUUGAAUCUUGUAUGACAUUUUUGUAGUAGCGUGAUCUCUCGCUACAUAUCUUCAAGCGAUUAUUGAAUUGGUUGUUGCAGUCUUUGUCGAGGC